GUGGGGAAUAUUGCGCAAUGGGGGCAACCCUGACGCAGCAACGCCGCUUGAGUGAUGAAGGUCUUCGGAUUGUAAAGCUCUGUUAAUCGGGACGAAAGAGCCUAGUGUGAAUAAUGCUAGGAAGUGACGGUACCGGAAUAGAAAGCCACGGCUAACUACGUGCCAGCAGCCGCGGUAAUACGUAGGUGGCAAGCGUUGUCCGGAUUUACUGGGCGUAAAGGGCGCGUAGGCGGGAUAGCAAGUCAGGUGUGACAUCCGGGGGCUUAACCAUCGAACUGAACUUGAAACUGUUAGUCUUGAGUGAUGGAGAGGCAAGCGGAAUUCCUAGUGUAGCGGUGAAAUGCGUAGAUAUUAGGAGGAACACCAGUGGCGAAGGCGGCUUGCUGGACAUUAACUGACGCUGAGGCGCGAAAGCGUGGGGAGCAAACAGGAUUAGAAACCCGUGUAGUCC
RNAcentral lists this ribosomal RNA (451 nucleotides) under uncultured bacterium. RNAcentral describes it as "partial 16S ribosomal RNA". It matches the Rfam family "Bacterial small subunit ribosomal RNA", at positions 354 to 796 of the family's 1533-position model. The record is from RNAcentral.